Molecule: small nuclear RNA, 109 nt
Organism: Prolemur simus (greater bamboo lemur)
Lineage: Eukaryota; Metazoa; Chordata; Mammalia; Primates; Lemuridae
Source: Ensembl
GUGCUCGCUUCAUCAGAACAUAUACUAAAAAACUGGACCGGCACGGUGAAGACUAGCAUGGCCCCUAUGCAAGGAUGACAUGCAAACUGAUAAAGUAUUCCAUUAAAAA